AUCCAGCUGCAGGUUCCCCUACAGCUACCUUGUUACGACUUCACACCAUUCACUAAUCUUAUAUUCGGCUUUCUUUUUAGAAACAAAUCAGAUGUCUUUCAUCAAGAGAGAACAAGAUUCGAAAAAAAAAAGAGAAGACUUCCUACACUAUCAAUUCACAGUGUGUGACGGGCGGUGAGUACAAGGCUCAGGUACAAAUUCACCGUAGCGUGCUGAUCUACGAUUACUAGUGAUUCCGGCUUCAUGUUCUCGAGUUGCAGAGAACAAUCUGAACUGGGGUGAGUUUUUUGAGAUUUGCUCCGACUCUCAUCAUUGCUCCUCUUUGUCCUCACCAUUGUAACACGUGUGUAGCCCAGCCCAUAAGGGUCAUGAGGACUUGACGUGAUCCCUCCCUUCCUCUAGUCUAUCACCAGCUGUACUUCCAUUUAAAAACCCAAAAAAAUUGAAUUUUUGAAUGGAAAGAGGGGUUUCGUUCGUUAAGGAAAUUAAUCCAACAUUUCACAACACGAACUGACGACAGCCAUGCAACACCUGUAAUCUUUACUCAAAUAAAUUUUUAUUUGGUUAUCUCAGGAUAACCUGAGAUUGUCGAAAGAUUAUGUCAAGGACUGGUAAGGUUUUGCGCGUUGUUUCGAAUUAAACCACAUGUUCCACCACUUGUGUGAGCCCCCGUCUAUUCCUUUGAGUUUUAGUCUUGCGACCGUACUCCUCAGGCGGACCUUUUUACGCGUUAGCUAAUACAAACGAUAAAACGAUGCACGCAAAUGAGUAAUUUCUUACUCAAGCACUUUUCUUUUUUUAUCUUUUUUUUUAUUCUUUUGUCUCUUUUUUUUUUUAAGAAAAAAAAAGAAUAAAAAAAGAGCAAAAAAAAAAUAAAAAAGAAUCGUGUUGCUCUGUGUAAAGUCUACUAUUUAUAGAAAGGUCAUCGUUGACGGCGUGGACUACAGGGGUAUCUAAUCCCUUUUGAUCCCCACGCUGUCGCACCUCAACGUCAGUGAAGCCCCAGAGAAUUGCCUUCGCUUUUGGUGUUCCUCCUGAUAUCAACAAAUUUUACCUCUACGCCAGGAAUUCCAUUCUCCUCUAGCUCACUCGAGUUUAGGAAUCAUUAAGAUAAGUUUCAAAGUAAAGCUUUGAGUUUUUUAUCCUUGAUUUUCUAAACAGCCUACGUGCGCUUUACGCCCAAUCAUUCCGAAUAACGCUCGCCCCUCUCGUAUUACCGCGGCUGCUGGCACGAAAUUGGCCGGGACUUUUUUCUUAAACUUUGUCAUAAUCUCUGUUUAAGUAAAGGGCUUUACAACCAAGACAGUCUUCAUCACCCACGCGAUCUAGCUGGAUCAGGCUUUCGCCCAUUGUCCAAGAUUCCUCACUGCUGCCGCUCGAAAGCGUCUGGGCCGUGUCUCAGUCCCAGUGUGGCUGAUCAUCCUCUCAGACCAGCUAAGGAUCUUUGGCUUGGUAAGCUUUUACCCUACCAACUACCUAAUCCUACGCAAGCUCAUCUC
RNAcentral lists this ribosomal RNA (1499 nucleotides) under Micractinium singularis. RNAcentral's name for it is "small subunit ribosomal RNA". Lineage: Eukaryota; Viridiplantae; Chlorophyta; Trebouxiophyceae; Chlorellales; Chlorellaceae. The record is from RNAcentral.